UGGUGCAGCGGUUAGCGCAUCUGACUGACGCGCUGAAGGUCGCGGGUUCGAUUCCCGC
This 58-nucleotide transfer RNA is filed under the name Bombyx mori (domestic silkworm). It matches the Rfam family "tRNA", at positions 8 to 63 of the family's 71-position model. From Rfam's summary of the family: Transfer RNA (tRNA) molecules are approximately 80 nucleotides in length. Lineage: Eukaryota; Metazoa; Arthropoda; Insecta; Lepidoptera; Bombycidae. The record is from Rfam by way of RNAcentral.